AACGAACGCUGGCGGCACGCUUAACACAUGCAAGUCGAACGAAGCAUAGAUUUCGGUUUAUGACUGAGUGGCAAACGGGUGAGUAACACGUGGGAAUUUUCCCUUUAGUGGGGAAUAACUUUGGGAAACUAAAGAUAAUUCCGCAUAAGUUCGAAAGGAGAAAGACUUCGGUCGCUAGAGGAGGAGCCCGCGUUAGAUUAGGUAGUUGGUGGGGUAAUGGCCUACCAAGGCGACGAUCCUUAGCUGGUUUGAGAGGAUGAUCAGCCACCCUGGGACUGAGACACGGCCCAGACUCCUUCGGGAGGCAGCAGUGGGGAAUAUUGGACAAUGGGCGAAAGCCUGAUCCAGCAAUGCCGCGUGAGUGAUGAAGGCCUUAGGGUUGUAAAGCUUUUUUUCCAGGGAUGAUAAUGACAGUUCCAAGGGAAUAAGCUCCGGCUAACUCCGUG
This 446-nucleotide ribosomal RNA is filed under the name uncultured bacterium. Its description in RNAcentral is "bacterial SSU rRNA". It matches the Rfam family "Bacterial small subunit ribosomal RNA", at positions 29 to 507 of the family's 1533-position model. The record is from RNAcentral.